This 66-nucleotide transfer RNA is filed under the name Salmo salar (Atlantic salmon). It matches the Rfam family "tRNA", at positions 8 to 63 of the family's 71-position model. From Rfam's summary of the family: Transfer RNA (tRNA) molecules are approximately 80 nucleotides in length. Their secondary structure includes four short double-helical elements and three loops (D, anti-codon, and T loops). The record is from Rfam by way of RNAcentral. Lineage: Eukaryota; Metazoa; Chordata; Actinopteri; Salmoniformes; Salmonidae.
UGGCUCAGUUGGUAGAGCAUGGUGUUUGCAACUGUGCAAUGCCAGGGUUGUGGGUUCGAUUCCCAC